Molecule: ribosomal RNA, 333 nt
Filed under: Priestia megaterium
Lineage: Bacteria; Bacillati; Bacillota; Bacilli; Caryophanales; Bacillaceae
Description: bacterial SSU rRNA
Rfam family: Bacterial small subunit ribosomal RNA
Source: RNAcentral
CCCUUAUGACCUGGGCUACACACGUGCUACAAUGGAUGGUACAAAGGGCUGCAAGACCGCGAGGUCAAGCCAAUCCCAUAAAACCAUUCUCAGUUCGGAUUGUAGGCUGCAACUCGCCUACAUGAAGCUGGAAUCGCUAGUAAUCGCGGAUCAGCAUGCCGCGGUGAAUACGUUCCCGGGCCUUGUACACACCGCCCCGUCACACCACGAGAGUUUGUAACACCCGAAGUCGGUGGAGUAACCGUAAGGAGCUAGCCGCCUAAGGUGGGACAGAUGAUUGGGGUGAAGUCGUAACAAGGUAGCCGUAUCGGAAGGUGCGGUUGGAUCACCUCC